Molecule: ribosomal RNA, 482 nt
Filed under: uncultured bacterium
Lineage: Bacteria
Description: partial 16S ribosomal RNA
Rfam family: Bacterial small subunit ribosomal RNA
Source: RNAcentral
AUUGAACGCUGGCGGCAUGCCUUACACAUGCAAGUCGAACGGUAACGGGCCUUCGGGUGCCGACGAGUGGCGAACGGGUGAGUAAUACAUCGGAACGUGCCCGAUCGUGGGGGAUAACGAGGCGAAAGCUUUGCUAAUACCGCAUACGAUCUACGGAUGAAAGCAGGGGACCGCAAGGCCUUGCGCGGACGGAGCGGCCGAUGGCAGAUUAGGUAGUUGGUGGGAUAAAAGCUUACCAAGCCGACGAUCUGUAGCUGGUCUGAGAGGAUGAUCAGCCACACUGGGACUGAGACACGGCCCAGACUCCUACGGGAGGCAGCAGUGGGGAAUUUUGGACAAUGGGCGCAAGCCUGAUCCAGCCAUGCCGCGUGCAGGAUGAAGGCCUUCGGGUUGAAAACUGCUUUUGUACGGAACGAAAAGCCUUCUUUUAAUACAGGAGGGUCAUGACGGUACCGUAAGAAUAAGCACCGGCUAACUACGUG